AAUUAAUAGAACAAAAAAUCAAUUGUCUUACGAAAAGCUAGGAAAAGUACAUAAUAUUUAAAAAGAAGAAAGUAAAAGUUCAAUAUAAACUGAUUGCUUUAAAAUGUGUUAUUGUUAGAUGUGUAUACAAUAGAAAACAUUUUAUUUUUAUUAAAUAUAUAUAGAUAAAAAAUAUCUCUAUAGUCUCAUGAACUUUUAUUUCAUUCAUUAUAAUAAUUAAUAAUGAGUGCCGAGAUAGAUAAUGAACCAAUACCAAAAAAAAUUAAAUCUGUUAAUUUGGACAAGGAUAUUUCUAAUGACAAUGAAAAGUUAAGAAAAAUAGAUAGUUUUCAUAAUGAAAAUAACAUAAAGAAGAAUUCUGAAUGUCAAGAAAACAUAGAAUUAACUGAUGAUGAAGGUGAAGAAGAAAAUUCAUUACCAAAGGAUGAUGAUGAUGACGAUGAUCAUUUAUUUUCAUUUCCACCAAAUGAUAAUGUUGCAGACAUGUUAGAUGAAGUACAUUAUAGUGGUUUAUUUCCAACAAUCACAGAGAGAUAUUUUACUGCUUAUUAUAAAUUAAAUGUACAAAGUCCUAAUGAUGACAUUUGCAUUCUAAUGCACAGUAAUCGUAUUUGCAUGCUCACUUUAGCUCCAAGUCAUACAGUUUUACAAGGUAAUAAAGAAAUAACAAAAGUUAAUUUCAAAGUCAGUGAAAAAUUGGAUAGAGUUCUGAAUAAGGUUUCAGGUAAGAGCAAACAUGGAGCCCAACCUUUACAAGCAAACUCUAAUAUUUGUAUUAUAUCUUCUUCGAAUGGUAAAACUUACACCAUAAAGUGUUGCAUAAUUGGAAAAUUGGUAGAAGUGAAUGAAACAUUAUUACAAAAUCCAAAACUUUUAUUAGAACCUCCACACAAGGGAGGCUAUUUAGCCAUAAUAUUGCCAAAUAUAAACCUAUUGGAUAAAAUGAAAAAGUCUUUAUUAACUCAAGAACAAUAUGACUUGGAAAUGCUAGAACGCAAGAAUACAAUAAGUCAAUUAGAAAUUUCAAUAAAGAAUAAUUCAGAAACAAUAAAUAACAAUCCGCAAUUAAAUUCCACACAGGAUCAAAUUACAUUACCAAUAGAAAGUUGAUUUUAUGUGUGAAACUGUCAAUUGUACUAUUUAUUUAUGUUUUUAAUAAACAUAUAUUUACUUUUCAAACAAAAAUGAGUAUUUAAAUACAGAAAAGCAAUUUAUUUUGUAUGUUUCCUGCAGUUACAACAACUAUUUUGUAACAGUAGUUUUAAUUAUAAUUAUUAUUAAUAUUGAUUAAUGGUGUAAUCUUUGGUGUAAAUUUUAAGUUAUGUUGUUUUUUUAAACAUAGACCAUUUUAAUGUCAACAUUUGUGUCAAUAUCAAAUUGUAUCACUUUCAAUUUGAAGAAUGGUAUAAUAUAAAUUAUAACUAAGAAUUCAUGCUGUUACAUGGCACAUUUAUAUGUAUGGAAUUGUUAAAACAAAUUCUAUGCAAGUGUACUAGAACCAGCCAGUUACUUACACAAUUUAUCUUGCAUAAUUUAAAAUGUGCUACUGUUGCCUUCAUGUGUAAUAUAUUUUCAAAAAUAAUUCAAUUUAAUUCAUCUACAACUGAUAGACCUAAUGUUCGAUGUUGUCAUCUGGUUUGUUAGUAGAAUCUUUCAUUAGAUUUCCUAACACAAUUCCAGCAAAUAAAAUCAUUCCUACCCUGUGAUUGGAGAUGAACUUUUUAGCACAGUCUGUUGGAUUAUCAAUAUUCAAGCUGUAAACCUAAAUAUAAAUAUAUAUUAUGUUUAACAUUAUUCAAAUCUUAUAAUUAUGUACGACUGAACUAAAUUAUAAUAAUAAUUGUUUACUUGAUUCAAAAGAUGAGCACUAACUAAUCCAACUGCUGUAUAAUAUGGCCAAGUCUGUGAAGUUACAAUACCUGAUGUAAUUAAACUACUUAUCAUAACUGUACUGAAUCCAGCCAAGUACGUUUUUGUGUUAUCUUUAAACUUUAAAGCUGUUGAUUUAAUACCUAUUAUAGCAUCAUCUAUUUUAUCCUGCAAUACAACGAUAAAUAAUAAAAUGAUAUUAUUUAAAAUAGACAGCAAACCUUUACCUGAUGUGCAUAUAUAGUAUCAUAUAAAAGUGUCCAACAAAUUCCAGCAACGUAAAGAGGCAGACACACUGACCAAUCACAUGAUCCGUGCACUGCAGACCAGCCCAAAAGUGCACCCCAAUUAAAAGUCAUUCCUAGCAUCAAUUGUGGCCAAAAUGUUAUUCUUUUCAUAACUGGGUAUAACAUUACUAAAACUGUAAUAAAAAUGUGAUGUUUAUUUCAUAUAUUAUAAAAACAUAUGUAUAUGUAUAUGUUUUUAUAUUUAUUUUUACAGUAUUUCUGAAUUUUAAAUGGUGGACAUUCAAAAAUUUCUAAGACUGUUAUGGUUAGUGAAUAUAAAUAUUAAUACAUUCUCAUUAUUUAUAAACUUGUAAGUUACUCAGUUAGAUUGAAAGAAUUUGCUUUAAUUUGUUAAAAAAAUUGAGAAAUACUGUUUCGUACUAAAAUUAGGAAAAUAUACCUAAUGAGCUUGCACCCAAUAUAAUACUAUAAAGAUUUAGUUGUAACAACACUAGUAAUCCUAAAGUUAAUUGGCUUCCAAGAAAAGCAAAUGAUUGAAGAGGUGAAAUUUCUCCAGUAACCAAUGGUCUAUCUUUUGUUCUCGCUACCUGACAUUGAAAAGUCUUUAUAAUAUUGAAUCUUGAAUAUUUGUAAACUUGAUAUUACCAUGCUGUCAAUAUCUUGAUCCCACAUAUCAUUUAUUAUACAUCCUGCUCCACGCAUGAUAAAUGCACCAAUUCCGAAAAGGGAUAAAAGUUGAAAAUCUGGUAAACAACCUGCUGGUGCUGCUAAGGCUAUGCUCCAACCACAAGGCCAAAACAAUAACCAUGAUCCUACAUAUAUAAGCCUUUAAUAACUAACAUUACUCGUAUAUGAACGUUAUGAAAAGUACAUGGCAUAGUUACCUACAAUAAAUUGUAUAAUUUCGGCUAUGUUAUCUCACCUAUUGGUUUGUCCAUCCUCAAUAGUUUUAAAUAUGGUCGGAUUUUAGAUGGACUAUUAUUAACUAGUUUCACAGCAAAUGUUACAUUUUGCUUUGAUUGCACGUUUGAUGUUAAAGAAUGUACUACCUCAUCGUUUGGCUUUAAUGAAACUUCAGCAGGCUUCGACAGAUUUUCCGUUGAUAUAUAGUUUCUUUUAUAUUUAUCAUGAAUGAACGACGAAGUAUGAAUUGUAGUCCAUGGAUGUAAUUGAUUAACCACGUGUAAUCCUUGACUAGAUUGUAAGCAGGAUACUAAUAGUUUUCCAGAUGCAAUAAAUUGUUGACAUCUCUUCAUUAUUAUCAUUGUUCCGUCUUCUAACUAUUAUAAAUAAAUAUUAUGAAUUUAGCUUAACCUCAACUUUAAUUUAGAGUAAUUUAUUUUGUUCUACACACAAUUGAUCAUACGUGAUAUAACACUUGUAUUUAUUACGUUUUUAUUCACAAAUUACAAGUCAUUACAAUAAGACGCAUACCGGCACUUUGUCAUAUUACAUAAUUAAUUCAGUAAACUGCAGCGCAAGGUUAAAUAGUCAUGCUCUAUGGAAGAACUACAUGCUUAUAUAGGGUGUGGUGCUGUAAAUGGAAUAUAAGUGAAAUACUGUAUCUAAAUAAAUACUUAUAGAUUAUCUCUUAUCUACAACAAUUUUCAAUAAACAUCGACUUCAUAUUAAGACUUUUGUGGCUUAUGCAUCGUUGCAGUUCGUAGAAACAGAAUUGUCCUAUUUUG
Molecule: non-coding RNA, 3805 nt
Organism: Nomia melanderi (Alkali bee)
Lineage: Eukaryota; Metazoa; Arthropoda; Insecta; Hymenoptera; Halictidae
Source: RefSeq, a predicted model, not a curated record